Molecule: ribosomal RNA, 483 nt
Filed under: uncultured bacterium
Lineage: Bacteria
Description: bacterial SSU rRNA
Rfam family: Bacterial small subunit ribosomal RNA
Source: RNAcentral
ACUCCUACGGGAGGCAGCAGUAGGGAAUUUUUCGCAAUGGAGGAAACUCUGACGGAGCAAUACCGCGUGUGGGAAGAAGAUUUUCGGAUUGUAAACCACUGUUGUAAGGGAAGAACGUUAUUAGUAGGAAAUGGCUAAUAAGUGACGGUACCUUACCAGAAAGGGACGGCUAACUACGUGCCAGCAGCCGCGGUAAUACGUAGGUCCGAGCGUUAUCGGAAUUAUUGGCGUAAAGGGCACGUAGGCGGACAAAUAAGUUUGAUGUCAAAUAUGAUGGCUCAACCAUCAAGAGGCGUUGAAAACUGUUUAUCUAGAAUCUCGGAGAGGUAAGUGGAAUUCCAUGUGUAGCGGUGGAAUGCGUAGAUAUAUGGAGGAACACCAAUGGCGAAGGCAGCUUACUGGACGAAGAUUGACGCUGAGGUGCGAAAGCGUGGGUAGCAAACAGGAUUAGAUACCCUGGUAGGAUAGCGUAGUCGUAGGAAC